GAGGCCAUAGUAUAAAGGCAGCAGGCGGGCAACCAGGCUCUUCCAAUGCACAGUGGUGAGAUUGGUCUCAUCACAAAAGACAACUCUUUUCCGCAGAGUAGCUGUUGACAUUAUGGUUACGCAGGCACUUUGUUGACUCUAGAGAACCUCGGGCCAAUCGCACAUCCCCAUGGCGGCGACUUUUCAUUCGGAUGUCAUCCAUAUCAACUUUCGAUUCCAGUUUCUGUGCCUACCAUGGUGACCACGGGUAACAGGGAACCAGGGUUCCAUUCCG
This is a non-coding RNA of Pelobates cultripes (western spadefoot toad), 274 nucleotides long. Lineage: Eukaryota; Metazoa; Chordata; Amphibia; Anura; Pelobatidae. The record is from the annotation of a GenBank genome assembly.